AUUUAUUUAUUACAAAAAGUAUAUCAAGCUUCCAACUUGAAGAUUUAAUUAAAUUAAAAUAAAUA
This 65-nucleotide transfer RNA is filed under the name Stenatkina angustata. RNAcentral describes it as "tRNA-Gly". Lineage: Eukaryota; Metazoa; Arthropoda; Insecta; Hemiptera; Cicadellidae. The record is from RNAcentral. RNAcentral also lists the same sequence under 1 other name.